Molecule: ribosomal RNA, 251 nt
Filed under: uncultured prokaryote
Description: partial 16S rRNA
Rfam family: Bacterial small subunit ribosomal RNA
Source: RNAcentral
ACGUGUGGUCCUAGCGUUGUCCGGAAUAACUGGGCGUAAAGGGUGUGUAGGCGGAUAUCCGUGUCAGGUGUGAAAUCCCCCGGCUUAACUGGGGCAUUGCGCUUGAAACUGGAUAUCUGGAGCGUGUCAGGGGUAAGCGGAAUUCCCGGAGUAGCGGUGAAAUGCGUAGAUAUCGGGAAGAACACCGGUGGCGAAGGCGGCUUACUGGGACAUGGCUGACGCUGAGGCACGAAAGCGUGGGGAGCGAACGG